AGCAAUAUACUCAAUAACGGAAGAAGCAUCGUACGAAUCAUUAUAGAGAUUUAAUUUAUACGAGUAGCAAACUCAGUAAAUAAAAGAAGCAUUGUGUGAAUCAUUAUAGAGAUUCAAUUAGUACGAGUAGCAUACAUAGUAAACAGAAGAAGCAUCAUAUGAAUCAUUAUAGAGAUUCAAUUAGUACGAACAACAUACUCAGUAAAUAGAAGAAACAUCAUACGAAUCAUUAUAGAGUUUCUAAUAAUAUCCUGAACCAUAUGUAUGUUUUAUUAAAUCUUUUACUGACCUUCACGCAAAGUCGUUACAACAUAUAUCCAUUAAGGGCAGAAGCGAUCUCUGACUAGCGCUGUGAAUCAUUGACCCAUUCUCGGGUCCUUAUCAUUUCCCUAUCUAGAUUCUAACCAUGGCCAUCUAUUGGCUAUGGGGAUCAUACAUUCACUUAAUGUGUAUUUCCUCUCAUAAGAGGGAACACUGAUCAUCAUAGGGAACAGUUUACUAACACUUAUUC
This 511-nucleotide long non-coding RNA is filed under the name Carica papaya (papaya). RNAcentral's name for it is "long non-coding RNA (CPAP_LNC011071)". The record is from RNAcentral. Lineage: Eukaryota; Viridiplantae; Streptophyta; Magnoliopsida; Brassicales; Caricaceae.